This 3285-nucleotide long non-coding RNA is filed under the name Sus scrofa (pig). Its description in RNAcentral is "lncRNA (ENSSSCG00060048876.1)". Lineage: Eukaryota; Metazoa; Chordata; Mammalia; Artiodactyla; Suidae. The record is from RNAcentral.
GGUCACUAAGUUUUCCAGAGCUUAAUCUUAUAGGGUUAUUUUAAAGCUGCUUGGUAAGCUGGAACUUCAGGUGGGCAUCAUAAACUCAAGUCCAUACUUAAAAUGUCCAGGAGUUCCUGCUGUGGCUCAGUGGUAAUGAACCCAACUAGUAUCCAUGAAGAUGCGGGUUCUAUCCCUGGCCCCACUCAGGGGGUUAAGGAUUCAGUGACAUUGCUAUGAGCUGAGGUGUAGGUCGCAGACGCAGUGUAGGUCACAGACACGGCUUGGAUCUGGCAUUGCUGUGGCUGUGGUGUAGGCUGGUAGCUGCAGUUCCAAUUCAACCCCCAGCCUGGGAACUUCCAUAUGGCGAGGGUGCAGCCCUAAAAAGCAAGCAAACAAACAAGAAUGUCCAGACUCUGGGUGUGAACAGGGUUAUCACACUGUAAAAUGCCUAUCCUAGGCUGCAACUCAGAAAAACAAAAGCUGCUUUUCAAAAAGUUGUUUUUCUCAUCACAAGGGGCAAGAAGAUGAAACUGUUAGCUAUAAGAGAAGGUCUGCCUGACCAGACCUGCAAGUUUGACGGCAAGUGGAUGCAGCCACAGCCAACUGGGGGUGGGGUGGUCAGGGCAUGGCCAGAGGCAUAAACACUACCUUCCAACCCUCUCAGCUCAACCUGCAAAAGCCAGAGGGCAAGGGAGCCGGAGCUGAUUGAGGCAGCCUGCAGAGGUCAGCUUCCCAAACAGAGCAGAGCAAGGUUGGACCCAAAGAAGGUACAGAGGCUAUCUCACACAGGUAGCAGGCUGACACAUUUAUUUAAACAGUUCUGUGGGAGUUCCUGUUGUGGCUUAGUAGGCCAAGAACCUAACUAGUAUCAGUGAGGAUGAGGGUUCGAUUCCUGGCCUCACUCAGUGGGUUAAAGAUCUGGCGUUGCUAAGAGCUGUGGUGUAGGUUGCAGACUUGGCUCAGAUUCUGAGUUGCUGUGGCUGUGGCCAAGGUCCAGCUGCAGCUCUGAUUCAACCCUAGCCUGGAAACUUCCAUAUGCUAUAGGUGUGGGAAAAAAAAAAAAAAUGGAGUUCCCUUCGUGGCGCAGUGGUUAACGAAUCCGACUAGGAACCAUGAGGUUGCAGGGAUCGAACCCGAAACCUCAUGGUUCUUAGAUUUGUUAACCACUGAGCCACGACGGGAACUCCUGCUCUCUUGUUUCUUUAACUGUAAAUAUUCCAGCUAAUUUGACUGAGGCAUGAUUAAUGAUCCUUUAAACUUUCAGGUGUUAUUCAUUCCCUUGAAUCUUUGAAGUUGGCUCUUGGCAAAACUGUAAAUGAAAGGUUUGUUUUCUAGGCCCAUCUGCAUGCUUUUUAGAUCUUUUUGGUUCCCUGCUAGCAAUAGCAACUUUAGCCCCAGAGUUCUCUCACCAUGGGAGCAAUGGGCUCGCCAAUCCCAACCUGCUCUCUAAGCCUGUGCCUGCAUUCAAUGGGCAAUUAAAACUCAAUUAUACAGUUCUACUGUUUUCCUCAACAUAAAAGCAAUACAUGCUCAUGUUGUCCAACUUGAGAAUACAGAAAAGCAAAAGAAAAUAAAAAUCUGUUAUAAUCUUGUUAUUCAAAAUCAGAUGCCACUGUUCCUUGUUCCUCUCAAAAGUGUUGUUGGCACUUUUAACGCCACUCAUCUGUGCAUAGUCCCUUUCCUCCCCGACCCUGCUCUGCCUUCCAAGUUCACUCUGUGAGGCAGAGGUAAUGACUGAAUAAGUAAACACUUGAAAGUAUAUUACCUUGAGACCUUAGGCACCUGUUGAGGAAAAAAUACAUAAAUAGUACAUAAUAAAACCAAUUGGGACAUCUGAGGUUGGCUAGUUUACAGUGGAAUUCAUUGGCUCAUAGGACCUGAAUGUAUAGAGGUAGGAUGGGCUGCAGGUGUGGUUUGAUCUAGAGAUUGAAAGAGUCAAAAAGGAAAUGGUUUCUUUCUAACCCCUCUCUCUGCUUUCUCCACAAUGUUCAUCUCUUCCUAAGGUAAGUGCUUCUUGCAGUCAAAAUGGCAGCCUUAUCAGCAGUUUCUAGCACUACUUACUGCCUGGCUCCUGUCUAACAGGAUAUGAGAGCAUCUGUCUGUGACCCAUAAAUUCCUGGGAUCCCUUUUGAUUGGAUCAGCCUGGUUCCUAUGACCACCCCCGAACCAACCCUAGUGGCAAGGAAGAUGAGACAAUUAUGCAUAGUUGAGACUAGUAGGCCUCAAACUCUAGUCUCAGGACUGCUCAUAAAAAUUAAUGAGGAGCCCACAGAAUCUUUUUGAUGGAGAUUUUUAUCUAUUGAUACUUGCCAAAUUAGAAAUUAAAUUCAGGAAUUCCCAUCGUGGCGCAGCGAAAACGAAUCUGACUAGGAACUAUGAGGUUGCAGGUUUGAUCCCUGGCCUCAUUCAGUGGGUUAAGGAUCUGGUAUUGCUGCGAGCUGUGGUGUAGGCUGGCAGCUGUAGCUCCAAUUCAACCCCUAGCCUGGGAACCUCCAUAUGCCGAAAGUGCGGCCCUAAAAAAAAAAAAGCAAAAACAAAAGAAACCUCCCAACAGACAAAAGUCCAGGAACAGACAGCUUCAUGAGUGAAUUCCACCAAACAUUUCAAGAAAGGUUAACCCUACCUUUCUCAAACUAUUCCAGAAAACAGCAGAGGAAGGAACAUGUCUGAAUACAUUCUGUGAGGCCAGUAUCACCCACCCUGAUACUAAGACCAGAUAAAGAUAGCACCCAAAAAAGAAAAUUACAGACUAACAUCACUGAUGCAAAAAUCAACAAAAUAUUAGCAAACAAAAUUCAAAUCCUACAUUAAUCCCACAUUAAAACGAUCAUACAUUAUGACUAAAUGGGACUUAUCCCAAGGAUGCAAGGAUGGUUCAGUAUCCACAAAUCAACCAAAGUGACACAGAUUAACAAACUAAAGACUGAAAUAGGAGCAUCUCAAUAGAUACAGAAUAAACUUUUGACAAAAGUCAACAUCCAUUUUUGAUGAAAAACUCUCAAUACAGGGGACCAUGCUGCAACAUAUAAAGACCAUGUAUGACAGGCCCGCAGCCAGUAUCAUACUUAAUGGCAAAAGCUGAAAGCAUUUUCUCUAAGAAGGAAGCAUUUUCUCACAGGAAGAAGACAACGAUGCCCACUCUUACCACUUUUAUUCAGCAUAGUGUUGGAAAUCAUAGCCACAGCAAUCAGACAAGAAGAAAUGAAAGAAAUCCCAAUUAGAAAAGAAGUAAAACUGUCACUGUUUUUAGAUGACAUGAUACUAUACAUAGAAAAUCCUAAAGAUGUUACCAAAAAAAAAAAA